CUAUAUCCCCGCUCUGGACUUUCUCCUCUCUGCCUUCGGUGAACUAUGUGCACUAUCGGUCUCUCAUCUCUACCGUUCGCCGAAUGCAACACCGACCAACACGACCUCUCUGAUCGGUGCGUUUUUUUCCUCUCAUCUCUGUCGUUUGCCUAUCUGCAACUCCCAUCAGAAAAUUUUGUGGCUGGUGAGUUCUCCUUCUAUCAUCUCCACUGGAUUUGUUCUUUCGUUUUUUUUCACUCUUUCUCUCACUAGAGUCAUCGAAAUUGGUAUUGAUAAUGGACAAAAAUUUAAAAGACACAUAUGAGCUGUAAAAAGUACUAAAAGACUGCAACAAUAAAUGAUAUGUUAUUUGGUUAUGGCCUAGGAAUUGUUAUUUAAUCAAAAUAAAUAAAUAAUACAUUAUGAAAAUUUUAUAAAACAAUUUUGUUUGUUAAAAAUAUAAAAUCGUAANNNNNNNNNNNNNNNNNNNNNNNNNNNNNNNNNNNNNNNNNNNNNNNNNAAUCAUUUAAUAUAUAUAUAUAUAUAUAUAUCAUCUUCCUAUUCAACUUUUGUUAAAAAUCUCAUAAAUGAUAUAAUAGCUUUGUUAAAUAAUUUAUAUAGAAUAAAAAGCUUAUGAUAAUUCAAAGGGUAUAUAGAAUAACUUCAUUAAUUAUUUAAAAGUUUUGAUUUCGGCCCCUCCACUGAUAGUAUUCGUGUUCCGCCCCCGAGUGAAAUUGAUAUUAUCACCUUCGGAACUUUGAUAACUUAAAAUGUAAUAUUGAAAAUAGUCCGAUCUUAUUGUAAUACAUUUAAUGAUUAACGAUGAUAACUAAUGCAACAAAUCUUAAAAAAUUAUUGUUUCUUACACUUUGAGUAAUAUUGAGAUGGUUGUUUUUUAAGGGCAUCUUAUAUGUAUGAUUACAAAAUAAUAAAACAUGCGACUUUUUCAUGAUCGACUGGAUUAGUAUAAAUAAAUCGUAAAACAUGAUUAGUGCGUAGCAACUAGCAAGUAGCAAUGUACCUUAAAAUAGAACGGUUUUAAACUUUUAUUUAUAUUGCCCCAGUAAGCUCUUGAUUUAUGGAGACUUUCUUUUCUACCAGAAAGAAAGACAUAGGACACGGCUCCAGAAGUUGGUGUUGGUCUCGAGACGAAGGAUUCGAUAAGGCAGUAAAGGAAAAUUCGAUUGAUGCUAGUUCCAGAAAGCAGAUUCCAGAUGUGGAGAUUACGACUAGAGAGAUUUUGGAAGGGGUUCCAGUGGGCCAAUACUCAUAAUUCCCCUAUAUUAUGGGCUUAGUUAGCCCGUUUGUUAUAAUAAGUUAAAUUUUCUCCAUAUCAAAUUAUGUUUGCUAGCUUUGGCUCUUUCAAAAAAAAAUUAUCAAUUAAUUUGUAAACUCUACCACUGUUAAUUAUUUAAUUUGAUAAAUUAAUAAAAAUAAAUUUAGUUCGUAUAUAGACGUAUAGCAUGUUUAUGCGAACCAUUUUAACUUUUGUGUGAUUUUUAUUUCCUUUCACCCAUGAUUAUUUGUGUUUGUGUAAUUCUAAAUUAUAUCAAUGGUCAUUAUGGUUUGGUAUAAACAUUUUUUUUGUCCUUAACUUAUUUCUUUAACUCGGACAUAGUUUUUAUGAUACUUUUUGUUAUAUUUUUGGUCAUUGCUAAACGUAAAAUAAAUAUUUUGUCCUUAAUAUUUUUUUAAUUCAUUUGUUUUUUGGUUACUCUUUAUUAAUUUAGAAAAUAAACUUAGAUAAUUUAUAAAUAAAUGGGUCCUACAUCCCACAUCCUCAUCACUCGCCAGAUUUCGACACCACCUCCACCCGCCAUUCUUUCCACCACCUUAUUCCUUUCAUCCCAAUUAUUUUCAUCUUAUAAAUUAAACCUAGAUGCCAACAAUGAAAAUCAGACAUGUACAAACCUAAUGUAAAUCAGUUGACAUCUACAACCAUCUUUUAUGCUCGAAUCCAUCUAAUGAUUUUUUUUAACGUGGGUUGAGUUUAAAUGUUGGGGCUGAAAAUGAUUUUCUAGGAGUGAUAGUGGGAGAAAAAUCAGAGAAGCUCCAAAUGAAACCCAAAUUUGAAAACCAAAACUUGAAAUGAAUAUUUUUCCUUUUUCUCCAUCCAUCUACCUUGUCCCUCAAUUGUCUAGCCUAUAUAGUGAUUGCAAUCCUUUUGUCGAUCUUCUCAAUCAUUUACUUAUUGAGCCUUGUAACCUAUGUCGGUACCACCUCGAACAAGGCCCUCAAGACAUCAGAAUACAACGGAACACGUAGGCUUGCAUCAUCCAAACCUAAUCCACCAUAAACACUUGGGCCCAAACCAUAAGUAUAACCAUUCUUCCCCUUCCUAGCCAUCACUAUACUACAGGUAUAAUUGGAAACAAAUUAAAAUGAACUCAUAGUGUUACCCAUACUAUUUCUCAACUACUAGCUCCUCAUAAUCCUUGUGACUCUCCGUGAUUCAAAUAUAGAUCAUGUGCAUACUACCAUCCAUACCAAUACGUACCUGCCCCAAGAAUUAUCCCAAAGUUCUCAAGUUGCUCCUCUAUGACCAUCACCAGGUUUCCUAUCAUGCAUGCAUAUGCUUAUCCAUAUACACUAAAAUACUUCUUAAGAGUCUCUAGGAUUUAUCCUCUACUCAUGUGGUGGAAAGGUCUCUGCUAAUGUCGACAAGUCCUCCUAUGAAUGCAAGUUAUAUGUAAUUGAAGAUAAGACAAACAUUUGACUAGAUGUCUCUGCCAUAAGACCCUUCUCAGACAAAAACAUGCAAUAAGGAUAAAUCAAGACUUCUAAUGUUAUCUAGUCAUAAUCAUGUACUAUUGGAAAUAAUGUUCAAGAUUAUUAACUAUUGAUAAUAUUUCUAAAUAAUAACAGGGUUCAUUUAGGUUGUCUUCAUGACACAAAUAAGAAAUCAAAAGAAAAAAAAAUUAAGGAGAAAAUUAGUUUAUUAAUUUAUUAUGCUUAAUAAAUUAAUCAAAAACUAUUUUGGAAUUACUUAUGGAUUAAUUAAUUCAAAAGGUUGAAUAUUAAUUAGUUCAAAUAUUGACUAAUUGGAAUAUUCAAAAACCCUUUAUGGAAUAAGGGAAAAGUGAAAUCUCCAUCCCACAUGGGAUGGGAGAAGAUUUUGAAAUUAUCUCCAUCCUACAUGGCAUGGAAGAUGAAACAUGGCAAGGGCUUUAAGGCUAUAAAUAUGGUACUAAGGGCUUUAUUACGCCUUGCACCUUAGCUUCAAAUUUUUAACAAAUUCUUCCCUUUCUCUCUAUGGGACGAAUUUAUUAACCCUUCCUAGGGUUUGUAGAAAUGUAACCCUCUCCUAGUUUUCUUUUGGUUUCCUCUUAGGACUCUUGGGUGUGAUUCCAUUUGAAGGGUUCUCCAUUGGGUCCUCUCAUCCAAGCAACAUGGUUAGAUAAAAAAAAAGUUCAAGAAGAUCAAUACCGAGCUUCAAAGGAGGUUAGUAAUUUUGUCUUUCUUAGUAGAUUUAUAGUUUUAUAAGUAGAUUGUUAUAAUUAGUAAAACCUAGAUCCUAUGAUGCAUGUACACAUAGGGAUUGUUUUGUUAUUCCAAUGUAUAUAUCUUGUGUGUGGUGAUAUAUAGAAAAUCCAACAGUGGUAAUUAGAGACUCUAGAUUUUAGUUAUAAGCAUUGUUGUAAAAAUUGAAAUUGAAAUUCUAGAAUCUGGGCAUUACACGACGUGUAAUUUAGUUUUUCAAAUGUUCGAAUUUUUGGUUUUUUUUUCAAAUUAUGUGGAUAAACCUCUUGGUUUAAAUAUUAUUUAAAUCUAAAUAUUCAAUUUAAUAUUAGUUCUAAAUAUUUAAAUAAAAAAAUUAAAUAUGAAUAUUUACUAUUUUUGAAUAUUGUUUCAAUUAUAAUUUAAAUAUGAAUAUUUAAUUUUAAAUAUUAUUUAAUUAGAGAAUUUAAAUUUGAAUAUAUAAAGGUUAAUUAAAAUUUUUAAAUAUUGUUUAAUAAAGAUUUAAACUAAAAUACUUUAAAGGAUUUAAUUAAAACAUUAAAUAUUAUUUAGGUUAGAGAAUUAAAUUGGAAUAUUAAAAAUGAUAAAUAUCAAAUUAAAAAUAUUUAAAUUUACAUAAUUAUUAUAAUAGGAUUAUUAUAUGUAUAAGAAAUUAUUACAAACAUAUGUUAUCACAUGUUUAGCAGAUAAAGCUAUCAUCAAACCAUGACUAGGCUCACAUAAUCUAAUGUUAUAAAAGAGGUUUAAAGAGGCAUCUUCGAUUCCGAAUGAGGUCGGUUUUGAAAGACAUUAGGCUUACCACCCUCACCACCUCUUUACAUUUUGAGAUUAGAGUUACUAAAAGGGUUUGAUAGGAUAAGUGUCUAACACCUAUUUUAGGUAAAUAGUUCAGUUAUGAUUUUGGUUCAAUUAAAGAUGUAAAAUCAUGGAUUUUAAGAUGAUCACGGCGUGAAGAAGGAGGCCUCAUGACAUGACCAUCGAUGCAUAAACGUGCAUUCAUCCUUGUGGGCCACGACAUAACGAGUAAGUGGUCACGACGUGACGACUAUAUGGGGGUUAACCUUAAUUCUGUGUUUUGCACCCUAUAUAAUGGAAGUGAGGAGCUAGGGUUUGCACACCCCAACCUCCAUCACCUCUCUUCACCCUCAAGGAAACCCUAGUCCUCCUUUGUUGAUUGUGAGUUUCUUUUGGUGAUUUCAAGCUUAGAAUAAGAAGAUAAAGGAUCUUUGGUGUAUCAUCUCCUAUAGUAAGUGUCUCCCGUAUCAUCAUGAGUUGCUUUAGGACCCUUGUAAGUCCUCAAGCUCAUGCCUUUUUAGCUCAAGUAAUGCAUAUAUAAAGUUUUGUGCACUUUUCUCAAUGUUUAAGGAAGUUUGAGUGUUAGGAACUCCUAAAGUUGGCACCUUUAUGAUUUUUAGAGGCUCAUUUAUGACCACUUGUCCCAGAUCUGGAAGAUCAGUGAGAUAUUUAUUCCAUGCAUGCGAUUUUGUCUCAUUUUCCCGUCAUUUUGACCUAGUUCGUAUUCAAGACAUACAUGUCUAAAAAGCAAUGAUUUUUAUGGUCCUUUGGGUUGUAGAAAGCCUUUUGGAAAGUUUGAAGGCUUGGUUUGAAGGAUUAUGAGCUUAACGCUUUAAGCUGUCCAGAUCGGUUCUCACGAUAUGACAGGUUAUCGUCAUAAUGUGACGAUGAGCGUUUCCGUGACUAUUUUGUCCUAAAUCGGUCACGAUGUGACCAACGGGUGGACAUGACGUGACAAUCAGUUGGGAUUGACUUUGACCAUUGACAUUUUAGCAUGGUUAACUUUUGGUCAAAUUAGGGUUUUAGGGUGUAGACUGAGAGGGUGCUUUUUUAUUGUUGUUAGGUGUCUUGUUGUAUAUGUAUACCCUGUGUGUGAGUUGUUAUGUUUUUAGAUGCUAUCAAAAAGGUGAAUUUUCUAACUAUAUAUAUNNNNNNNNNNNNNNNNNNNNNNNNNNNNNNNNNNNNNNNNNNNNNNNNNNNNNNNNNNNNNNNNNNNNNNNNNNNNNNNNNNNNNNNNNNNNNNNNNNNNNNNNNNNNNNNNNNNNNNUAUAUAUAUAUAUAUAUAUAUAUAUAUAUAUAUAUACAUACAUAUAUAUAUAUAUACACAUACAUACAUAUAUAUGGUACUGUAUGUGUAUUGACCAGCUGGGUCCUAAUUGUGAUUGUUGUUAUAUGUCCAAUUGAGUUGUUGAUAACUUCUAGAUAAAUGUGAGUCCAUGGGACUAGUGAUAGUUCCCUAGGUUAUUGAUAACCCCUCAUACAUGUCGUUAAUCCACAAAGCUUGUUGUUAGCCCAUUGGGAUUGUUGAUAAUCCCCCGAGUUGCUGAUAACCAAUAGUUGUUUAUUAUGCUAUGUUGUAUGUGAUAUUUUGGGAAACUCACUAAGUUUCAUGCUUACAGUUGUGGAUUAAAUGUGUUUCAGGUACUUCUGAUGAUAACGGGAAGACGAAGGCUUGACUGUAUACUCCGACUUGAAGAUUUUUAUGAUUUGUGCAUUUUGAUACUUUGAUUUGGGAUGAUUGUAUUUAAUAUACCUGAGAUUUUAUUGACUUGGUUUUUAUAAUACUUGAGGUUUUUCUAUAUUAAUGAAAAUUUUUAUGGUAAAAAUUAGGAUGUUGCAAGUUGGUAUCAAAGCCAUAGUUGGAGAGAUUUUGAUGAACAUUUGAUGAAUUUCAAAUAAAAGAAAGUUGGAAGCAAUGUGUACGGUCAGUUGGAGCUUGAGGAAGUGAUCUCCCAAAAUAUCCAUAUUUGAGUUAUUUGUCAUGUUAUACAUGUUGUUAUUUGAGCUGAUAGAAGUGCAUUCUAGAUGAUAGGCUAAGGAUCCUUCUGGAAUUGCAAGAUAGGGUUUCCUGACUUUGUGAUGGCUUAUAUCCUAGUAGAUUACUUGUGAACGUUGUGAUAUGGUUGAAACUAAGAUUGCUAAUUGCUUUGUGUAUACUAUAUGGCUGUAUAAAAUUAUGAUUUUAUAGCUUUAGAAUGCCUGAUUUAAUCUUACUUCAUGUUCCUUAUCUGGUUGUGGAUUUGG
Molecule: long non-coding RNA, 6477 nt
Filed under: Lactuca sativa (garden lettuce)
Lineage: Eukaryota; Viridiplantae; Streptophyta; Magnoliopsida; Asterales; Asteraceae
Description: long non-coding RNA (LSAT_LNC001876)
Source: RNAcentral